UACGAAGGGUGCUAGCGUUAUUCGGAAUAACUGGGCGUAAAGAGCGUGUCGGCGGUCUUUUAAGUCAACUGUAAAAGAGCUCGGCUUAACCGAGUAAAUGCGGGUGAUACUGGAAGACUAGAGUGCGGGAGAGAAAGGUAGAAUUCUCGGAGUAGCGGUAAAAUGCGUAGAUCUCGAGAGGAAUACCGGUUGCGAAGGCGGCCUUUUGGCCCGUAACUGACGCUUAAGCGCGAAAGCGUGGGGAGCAAACAGG
RNAcentral lists this ribosomal RNA (253 nucleotides) under uncultured bacterium. RNAcentral's name for it is "partial 16S ribosomal RNA". It matches the Rfam family "Bacterial small subunit ribosomal RNA", at positions 524 to 776 of the family's 1533-position model. The record is from RNAcentral.